RNAcentral lists this transfer RNA (67 nucleotides) under Bombylius sp. RNAcentral describes it as "tRNA-Asp". It matches the Rfam family "tRNA". Rfam says of the family: Transfer RNA (tRNA) molecules are approximately 80 nucleotides in length. Lineage: Eukaryota; Metazoa; Arthropoda; Insecta; Diptera; Bombyliidae. The record is from RNAcentral.
AAGGAAUUAGUUAAACAAAAUAACAUUAGCUUGUCAAGCUAAAAUUAUUGAAAUUCAAUAUUCCUUA